CCAGUAGUCAUAUGCUUGUCUCAAAGAUUAAGCCAUGCAUGUCUAAGUUCACACCCUCGUACGGUGAAACCGCGAAUGGCUCAUUAACUCAGUCGAGGUUCCUUACAUGAUCCAUUUCUACUUGGAUAACUGUGGUAAUUCUAGAGCUAAUACAUGCCCAACAGCUCCGACCCCGGGCUUCACGGUUCGGGGAAAGAGCGCUUUUAUUAGUUCAAAACCAGUCGGGGGUUUCGGCCCUCGUGCUUUGGUGACUCUGGAUAACUUUGAGCCGAUCGCAUGGCCUCGAGCCGGCGACGCAUCUUUCAAAUGUCUGCCCUAUCAAAUGACGACGGUACGUGAUCUGCCUACCGUGUUGACUACGGGUAGCGGGGAAUCAGGGUUCGAUUCCGGAGAGGGAGCAUGAGA
This 405-nucleotide ribosomal RNA is filed under the name Notopala sp. 1 AJ-2009. Its description in RNAcentral is "SSU rRNA". It matches the Rfam family "Eukaryotic small subunit ribosomal RNA", at positions 17 to 401 of the family's 1831-position model. The record is from RNAcentral. Lineage: Eukaryota; Metazoa; Mollusca; Gastropoda; Architaenioglossa; Viviparidae.